CCUACGGGUGGCAGCAGUGGGGAAUAUUGGGCAAUGGGCGCAAGCCUGACCCAGCAAUGCCGCGUGAAGGAAGAAGGCUUUCGGGUUGUCAACUUCUUUUAGUUGGGAAUAAAAGGGGGCUCGUGAGCCCCGUAUUGUAUGUACCAUCAGAAAAAGGACAGGUUAAUGCCGUGCCAGCAGCCGCGGUCAUACGGAAGGUCCGGGCGUUAUCCGGAUUUAUUGGGUUUAAAGGGAGCGUAGGCCGGCUUUUAAGUCAGCGGUGAAAGUCCGCGGCUCAACCGUGGAAUUGCAGUUGAAACUGGAUGCCUUGAGUGCACACAGGGAUGCCGGAAUUCAUGGUGUAGCGGUGAAAUGCUUAGAUACCAUGAAGAACUCCGAUCGCGAAGGAAAGUGUCCGGGGUGCAACUGACGCUGAGGCUCGAAAGUGCGGGUAUCAAACAGGAUUAGAGACCCGGGUAGUC
Molecule: ribosomal RNA, 461 nt
Filed under: uncultured bacterium
Lineage: Bacteria
Description: partial 16S ribosomal RNA
Rfam family: Bacterial small subunit ribosomal RNA
Source: RNAcentral